GAGAGAGACUUGCCAGCAAUAAAGACUGCUAAUCAUUAUGCCCCUGGUUGAAUUCCAGGGCUCCCUCACGCU
Molecule: transfer RNA, 72 nt
Filed under: Brachygobius kabiliensis
Lineage: Eukaryota; Metazoa; Chordata; Actinopteri; Gobiiformes; Gobiidae
Description: tRNA-Ser
Source: RNAcentral